RNAcentral lists this ribosomal RNA (253 nucleotides) under uncultured bacterium. RNAcentral's name for it is "partial 16S ribosomal RNA". It matches the Rfam family "Bacterial small subunit ribosomal RNA", at positions 524 to 776 of the family's 1533-position model. The record is from RNAcentral.
UACGUAGGGUGCAAGCGUUAAUCGGAAUUACUGGGCGUAAAGCGUGCGCAGGCGGUUAUGCAAGACAGAGGUGAAAUCCCCGGGCUCAACCUGGGAACUGCCUUUGUGACUGCAUAGCUAGAGUACGGUAGAGGGGGAUGGAAUUCCGCGUGUAGCAGUGAAAUGCGUAGAUAUGCGGAGGAACACCGAUGGCGAAGGCAAUCCCCUGGACCUGCACUGACGCUCAUGCACGAAAGCGUGGGGAGCAAACAGG